This 459-nucleotide ribosomal RNA is filed under the name uncultured bacterium. RNAcentral's name for it is "partial 16S ribosomal RNA". It matches the Rfam family "Bacterial small subunit ribosomal RNA", at positions 338 to 795 of the family's 1533-position model. The record is from RNAcentral.
CCUACGGGAGGCAGCAGUGAGGAAUAUUGGUCAAUGGGCGCGAACCUGAACCAGCCAAGUCGCGUGAGGGAAGACGGUCCUAUGGAUUGUAACCCUCUUUUGUCGGGGAGCAAAAGACGCCACGCGUGGCGUUCCGAGAGUACCCGAAGAAAGAGCAUCGGCUAACUCCGUGCCAGCAGCCGCGGUAAUACGGGGGAUGCGAGCGUUAUCCGGAUUUAUUGGGUUUAAAGGGUGCGCAGGCGGAAGAUCAAGUCAGCGGUAAAAUUGAGAGGGUCAACCUCUUCGAGCCGUUGAAACUGGUUGUCUUGAGUGAGUGAGAAGUAGGCGGAAUGCGUGGUGUAGCGGUGAAAUGCGUAGAUAUUACGCAGAACUCCGAUUGCGAAGGCAGCAUACCGGCGAUCAACUGACGCUCAUGCACGAAAGUGUGGGUAUCGAACAGGAUUAGAUACCCCUGUAGUC